UCCGCUGUAAUCACUGUCCCAGAUGAUGCCUGAGACAUGAAUACUGACACCGCCCACCACAGCAGCUCCAAAGGUUCUCAGGUCAGCUACCUAGGAUCCAGGAGCAAGGCAGAGCCAGCAAGGUACCAAGUCCGUCAUGCUCAAAUGUCAUACUGGCAGGCCCAGCUAAAAAGUCGGAAAGGCCUGGACAAGGAAAGAAAGA
This is a long non-coding RNA of Myotis brandtii (Brandt's bat), 202 nucleotides long. RefSeq lists it as uncharacterized. The transcript is spliced from 3 exons. NCBI's taxonomy places the organism in Eukaryota, Metazoa, Chordata, Mammalia, Chiroptera, Vespertilionidae. The record is from RefSeq and is a predicted model, not a curated record.